Halichondria panicea is the source of this 378-nucleotide long non-coding RNA. RefSeq lists it as uncharacterized. The record is from RefSeq and is a predicted model, not a curated record. NCBI's taxonomy places the organism in Eukaryota, Metazoa, Porifera, Demospongiae, Suberitida, Halichondriidae. The transcript has 3 exons.
UGCGAAUCCUGACAACGAACGCAAACAAGAAAGACUUCGAAUAAGGAGGGAUCGAAACAGACAAGCAAGAGCCCAAGAAACACCUGAAGAGAAAGAAGUCAGGCUAGCCAAACGCAGAGAAAAGCACAGGGCACUCAAGAUUCAAGGUAACCAUUGCACUGGAUGCCAAUAGAGCAUCCCAGCAACUGAGACGGGACACAGAGACUCCUGAGGCCAGGCAGGCACGCCUACAGCAAAUGGCUGCUUCCACCCAAACCAGCAGAGCUUCAGAUACUCCUGAGGCCAGACAGGCACGCCUACAGCAAAUGGCUGCUUUAACUCAAACCAGCAGAGCCUCGGAGACUCCUGAGGCCAGACAGGCACGCUUGGAACAAGAUA